UGUUUGAUUGAAUGCUUUGCUGUGUUUCAGUCAGCCUUUGCUGCAGCUUCUCCUGGAGACUGUCAUCCUCAGCACGGCUUGUGGAGCAGCUCUGAGGAUUUGGGUUCAGACCACAAACAUCUCAAGAUGAUGUGCAGACAAGAGUCUUCCUGUGAUCUGCUUCGAGGCGUUUGUUCUCGGGCUGAAGAGCUUGGCUGCGGUGGGACAUCAGCAGGUUCAAACUCUGAUUUGGUCUGCUGCCUUCCGAUUCAUUCACUCAGGCUCGUUCUCUUUCACUCUGUCAACGAGCACAUAAUCACUCGCUCACACGUAUUACCCCUCACUGAAUCACCUCCUUCACUCUGUCACCACGGCUGUGAUUCACUACCUCACGUGCUCACGCUUUCACCUACACAGUAACUCACCAAGCAACAUAACUCACUCAUGCUUUCCUUCACCCUCUCACUUCUUAACUUACUGCUUUACCCACUCGCUCUUCUCCAUUCAACUACUGUCACUCAUUCAGUCACUCACUCAAUCUUUCCUUCACUUGCUCACAUAGUCUUUUACUCACUCACUCGCGACACAAUAUUUCCUUCAUUCACUCACUCCUUCACAGACUCACUCCUUCAUCCACUCACUCUUUCCUUCACUCACUCCCUCACAGACCAAUCCUUCUCUCACUAACUCACUCCUGUCAUGAACUCACUCCACUGACUCACACCUUCACCCACUCACUCCUUCACAGACUCACUCCUUCAUCCACUCACUCUUUCCUUCACUCACUCCCUCACAGACCCAAUACUUCUCUCACUAACUCAGUCCUAUCACAAACUCACUCCUUCAGACUCACUCCUCUCAUUCACUCACUCCUUCACUGACUCACACCUUCACCCACUCACUCCUAUCACUCAUUCACUCCUUCACAGACUUACUCCGUCUUUCACUCACUCCCUCACAGACUCAAUCCUUCUCUCACUAACUCACUCCUUCAGACUCACUCCUCUCAUUCACUCACUCCUUCACUGACUCACAUCUGCACUCACUCCUUCACAGACUCACUCCUUCACAGACUCACUCCUUCACCAACUCACUCCUUACCCAUUCACUCCUAUCACUCACUGACUCACUCCUCCACAGACUCACUCACUCACUCACUCAGUAGAAGCUCCAGUCACUGGCCCUUAUGUGUGUGCAGUGGGAUAAACAGAUCUGUGGCUGGACUUCAGCCACCAGUGCUCACAAGUCAAGGAGGGAGUCGGAAUAACAAAACAGUCUGUUUGGUACUGGACCUGGACUUGAGGGAGACGUGGGAGCUGCUAAAGCAUCACAGCGAUAUAAACAGACCCUCGGCUGCUACCUGACACAUUCCUUCCUCCAUAUCUGGGAAUUCUAAGGACAACACGCGUCUAAGUCUCAGGAAGCGUCCACCUCUGCCCCUCGCUGCCGGGACAGAUUGAAUGACACGGUGGAGAGGCCCAGUCAACUCCCACUCAGGGAAAUGCCCUGCAGCCAUUCUGGGGAUCCGAUCCUUCCCGGCGAGCAGGAGGCCUUCCACGCAGGAUUAUCCUGCGCUUGUUUACACAGAUGUUGAUCUCAGAUGAGAGACGAGAGGAAGGAGAGGACGACCGCUGCUGCUCCACAGUGUCAACGGGCCGGUGACGCAGAUCGGCCCGAACAUUACGACCGCUGAAGUGCUUAUCUUGUGUUUUAAGUGGUCCAAACCAGAAAAGCGGUGAACCAGAGGAGAGGUCACGCUACAGUCUGCUGACCUAGGUCAGGGUAUGUUGUCGCGACCUCUGACAGUUGGGAGGAGGCCUGGGGCAGACCCAGAGAGCGGACGUCUCUCUCACCCGGCAACACCUCAGUGCUCCACAGUAGAGCUGGAGGAGGUCUCUGAGGAGAGGGGAGUCUGGGCUGCAUAACUUCGGGUGCUGCCUCCAUGACCCGACCGUAACUAGCUGCUCUGCUUUUCCAGAAACCUCCAAACCCACGUCAUCUCAAAGAGAUCCACAGCACAAUCCUUCAUCUGCCAUUGUGGAGGACCUCGCCCCCGGACCAGUCACGGUUGCGUCAGCCUCCAAUCACCACAACAACUCAGCAGUUCCAACCAUCCCUGCUAUUUGUCUCCAUUAACACCAGUCCGUCCGGAGGGCGGAUGUUAGUCUGGUCAAAUCGGACUGUAGAUCCAACACCGUCUGAGAUAAACGCCGGACUUCCCCUUCCAGGAGACGGACUUUAUCAGCCCCCUCAUGCCUGCUCUCGUGGUGGCCCGUCUCUCUUCGCUCCGGUCCUGCGAGCAGAGAAUUGCAACGUUACCCGCUCCAGUGUGCGCCGCUCCGUGGAACAAGUCGUAGGAAGAAGGGGACGCGUCCGAGAGCAGCACGUUCAGCAGGAGCGUGAAAAGUGCGCAGCGCCGCUCCAUGGCUCCCGGUCCGGGCUUCACAGUCCAGUAACAGUGCAGGAAAAAGUUGGAGGCGCAGAGCUGACGCCGUCUUCUCCUCCCUCGCUCAGGUCACUGCGACUGCCUCAGUUUGGGGAAGUCCACGAUCCCAGCCCUGGAAUGACGCUGGAGCCCACACCCUUCUCCUCCAGACAGAAAAAACCAGAGGGGAAACAGAGGCUUGGUCCCAGGUGCUGACCUGAAGAGAAGGCUUGUUUGAAGAGGGUCAGCCAGGUGCAACACGACUGCUUGAGUUCAGCACGAGAUCUAAAGGAGCAGCGUGACGAGGAGUCCUCACGCCGAGGCUGAAUAUGUACGGCAGGGACCUGACUUCUGACUUGACUCCUGGUUCCCAUGGCAACCAUCGAAGUCAGCGCCCACCUGAUCUCAUCUUCUUCUGCGGCGCCGGGUUACGCUAUGACUGGCCUGAAACUGGAAGCACACGCGCGGCUGCCCGCAACACGGGCUGGGAUCACGAUAGAACGGGAUCCUCAUGGAGAAAAUAGAGCACGAAAAAAGAAAAAAAAGUGAAUUUGAAACUUCCCAGAGGACAUGAAGAUCAUGCUUCAGUCCCUCAUUAUUGACGAGGAUGCUGCUGAUCUGCUGCAGCUCGACUCCAUGGAGUGGAGAAAACAAACCCGACUGCUGGGAUGUCUCCAAGCUUCAGGGACCUGUGGCCGCGGUGCCGCUCCAACCCAGCGGCGCUGUGAUUCCUCACGCAUCAGGCCAACUGUGAGCGCCCCCUGCUGGUCUGUGUGGCGGACCCCCCCCCACCACUCUGCUGCCCUUUGACCCACGUCCUGGCAGCCAUCAGGCGGUGAGUCCCUGAGAGACGACGGAAGCGUCACACUGGCUGCCGCGGCGAGUGUUGGAGACGUUCUGGAGAUGCCCGCGUUCGUUUGGAGGAGAAGGGGUCGGAGCCGAAGCCGGUGUUACGUCUGUUCGAGGAAUAGAGGCGCCGGCCGAACGGUGCUGCGAGCAUGUCUGAGGUGCAGCGCCGGUCAGAGCUCUGUGAUGAAUCCUUCAGGAGCGGACUCUGGAGCACAUCCUGGUCAUUGUCAGCGAUUGAGCCAUGACUCGAGAGUCACCGUGUUCAUGUUUUCUGGCAUAUUAAAUGUUAUUUUCCUGUUGUUCAGGACCAAAUAAAGGUGACAGGCCCCGGGCGAGUCGGUCAUCAUCGUCCCGAGCUCCAGGCAAUGUUCCCUCUCAUCUUUCAUGUGUCUGAGCAAAUACACCUAGAAAUAGAUAUUAAACAAAUAUUGACAAUUUGCACACAUUGAGGAAUGGAGCAUGUGUGAAAUGUAAAGAA
This is a long non-coding RNA of Synchiropus splendidus (mandarinfish), 3731 nucleotides long. RefSeq lists it as uncharacterized. The record is from RefSeq and is a predicted model, not a curated record. NCBI's taxonomy places the organism in Eukaryota, Metazoa, Chordata, Actinopteri, Syngnathiformes, Callionymidae. The transcript has 11 exons.